Molecule: transfer RNA, 73 nt
Filed under: Cricetulus griseus (Chinese hamster)
Lineage: Eukaryota; Metazoa; Chordata; Mammalia; Rodentia; Cricetidae
Rfam family: tRNA
About the family: Transfer RNA (tRNA) molecules are approximately 80 nucleotides in length. Their secondary structure includes four short double-helical elements and three loops (D, anti-codon, and T loops). Further hydrogen bonds mediate the characteristic L-shaped molecular structure. tRNAs have two regions of fundamental functional importance: the anti-codon, which is responsible for specific mRNA codon recognition, and the 3' end, to which the tRNAs corresponding amino acid is attached (by aminoacyl-tRNA synthetases). tRNAs cope with the degeneracy of the genetic code in two manners: having more than one tRNA (with a specific anti-codon) for a particular amino acid; and 'wobble' base-pairing, i.e. permitting non-standard base-pairing at the 3rd anti-codon position.
Source: Rfam by way of RNAcentral
AGAGAUGUAGCUCAACUGGGAGAGUGCUUGCCUAAUACAUAUGAAGACCUGGGUUCAAUCCCCAGUAAAUCCU